CCCUGGUAGGCCCCACCACCUACUUUCCCAAGAGGCAGAAGCGCUGCUCCUUAUCAGAGGUGGAAAGGUUAACCAGAUGUGCUUCCACCAGAUCGACUAGUUCGUCUUCAUCCUUCAAGUCUUUUCUCACGUAAAACUAAGGCUGCAGUUUCAGUACCGCUGUCCCGAAGCUUCCUCUGUUCUGCAGGAACAUGGGGACUCACUGUUGUUGGAUUUGUUCCAGGGAAGAACACUCUAACAGCCUGACUCCACCUGACUCCCACCACAGUGCAAUACAGGUAUCCUAGACAAAUAACCAAGACUUGGCUCGUACUGCUGCUGUUUGGUACAAUCUGAGUGAUCCAGUGGUACAGCUUUUUCUGGCCAAAUAAUCUGAUCUGAUGGGGGAAACCCGCCAAAGCUGCAAUUUACCGACUUAAAACUCUGACUGUUUGGGCUUCUGGGAAAGAAAAACUAAGUGGUCCUCUGUUUCCCCCUGUUCCGCGUAGCUGCAUUACCUUGCUGCGUGGAGUCUAUGGAGGGCUGGUUGCAGUCCUGAGCG
Long non-coding RNA from Toxotes jaculatrix (banded archerfish), 541 nucleotides. RefSeq lists it as uncharacterized. NCBI's taxonomy places the organism in Eukaryota, Metazoa, Chordata, Actinopteri, Toxotidae. The record is from RefSeq and is a predicted model, not a curated record. The transcript has 3 exons.